RNAcentral lists this ribosomal RNA (283 nucleotides) under Klebsiella pneumoniae. Its description in RNAcentral is "partial 16S ribosomal RNA". It matches the Rfam family "Bacterial small subunit ribosomal RNA", at positions 1250 to 1532 of the family's 1533-position model. RNAcentral also lists the same sequence under 1 other name. Lineage: Bacteria; Pseudomonadati; Pseudomonadota; Gammaproteobacteria; Enterobacterales; Enterobacteriaceae. The record is from RNAcentral.
CGACCUCGCGAGAGCAAGCGGACCUCAUAAAGUAUGUCGUAGUCCGGAUUGGAGUCUGCAACUCGACUCCAUGAAGUCGGAAUCGCUAGUAAUCGUAGAUCAGAAUGCUACGGUGAAUACGUUCCCGGGCCUUGUACACACCGCCCGUCACACCAUGGGAGUGGGUUGCAAAAGAAGUAGGUAGCUUAACCUUCGGGAGGGCGCUUACCACUUUGUGAUUCAUGACUGGGGUGAAGUCGUAACAAGGUAACCGUAGGGGAACCUGCGGUUGGAUCACCUCCUU